Molecule: ribosomal RNA, 505 nt
Filed under: uncultured bacterium
Lineage: Bacteria
Description: partial 16S ribosomal RNA
Rfam family: Bacterial small subunit ribosomal RNA
Source: RNAcentral
GACGAACGCUGGCGGCGUGCCUAAUACAUGCAAGUAGAACGCACAGUUUAUACCGUAGCUUGCUACACCAUAGACUGUGAGUUGCGAACGGGUGAGUAACGCGUAGGUAACCUGCCUGGUAGCGGGGGAUAACUAUUGGAAACGAUAGCUAAUACCGCAUAAUAUUGAUUAUUGCAUGAUAAUUGAUUGAAAGAUGCUAUUGAAUCACUACCAGAUGGACCUGCGUUGUAUUAGCUAGUAGGUGAGGUAACGGCUCACCUAGGCGACGAUACAUAGCCGACCUGAGAGGGUGAUCGGCCACACUGGGACUGAGACACGGCCCAGACUCCUACGGGAGGCAGCAGUAGGGAAUCUUCGGCAAUGGACGAAAGUCUGACCGAGCAACGCCGCGUGAGUGAAGAAGGUUUUCGGAUCGUAAAGCUCUGUUGUAAGAGAAGAACGGGUGUGAGAGUGGAAAGUUCACACUGUGACGGUAUCUUACCAGAAAGGGACGGCUAACUACGUG